UUCAGUGUCUAAAGGCGCGACGCAACAUCAGAACUCUAUUCGUUUAGGCGUAGUUGAGAACUGAAAAUCAAACAUAUUGAUUACUAAAAGGCGAAUCUGAGGCAUUGAA
Molecule: unclassified non-coding RNA, 109 nt
Filed under: Caenorhabditis briggsae
Lineage: Eukaryota; Metazoa; Nematoda; Chromadorea; Rhabditida; Rhabditidae
Description: Cb173.3 C/D snoRNA
Source: RNAcentral